Molecule: non-coding RNA, 73 nt
Organism: Cucurbita pepo subsp. pepo (vegetable marrow)
Lineage: Eukaryota; Viridiplantae; Streptophyta; Magnoliopsida; Cucurbitales; Cucurbitaceae
Source: the annotation of a RefSeq genome assembly
GCCCGUUUAGCUUAGUUGGUAGAGUGCAAGGCUCUUAACUUUGUGGUCGUGGGUUUGAGCCCUACUGUGGGCG